Long non-coding RNA from Papaver somniferum (opium poppy), 2653 nucleotides. RefSeq lists it as uncharacterized. Lineage: Eukaryota; Viridiplantae; Streptophyta; Magnoliopsida; Ranunculales; Papaveraceae. The transcript is spliced from 2 exons. The record is from RefSeq and is a predicted model, not a curated record.
CUCCUCUCAGCCUCUCCCUUCUCUUUUCGACUGAAACCUCACACUAACUUUUCGACUGAAACCUAACCCACCAAAGAAUUCGACUGAAACCCUAACACAAUCGAAGUAGAGUUAUUGCUCUUGAUCUAGAGUUUUUCAAAUCUCUUUUGAAUUUCAUGAAAUUAUUAUUGUUUUCUCUGAAUAAUUUCAUGAAAUUGAUUGAAGAUGAAGAACAAAUGUGGAAUCCCUAACUUCAUCACCAAAUCUUGAGUUUUCGGAGUCAACAAAAAAUCAACAGAACUCAUCAAAACCUAGAAGGGGUUUUAUUUUCCAUCUCCUGCAUAUUCAGAUAAGUGAUUCUAGUAACUUAGAUUUAUAAUUCAGCGGCUUUUUUAAAUCGAUUAUGAGUUUAUUUGUUUUUUGAGAUAAUAAUUAUAAUUUGUUUUUCUGUGUAAUGUCAUCAGGUCUUUUGAGAAAAAUGGGAAUAUGAGAAACCCUAAAUUCAUCAGCAAGUACAGAUGAUUCUGGUUUCUAGUUUCAAAUAAAAAAUGGGUUGAUCGUUUUACUUAGUGAAGCUAAUUCUUCAACUUUGUUUUCCUCUCUCGCUAUCUGUUGGGACCCUACACUAACACUAUCUCUUCGUACAGCACCCUUAUCUUUCCUCUCAAACCCUAGCCUUACACAUCUAUUGCUGCUUCAAAUUUUUUUUUUUUUUUUGGGUUCUCGAAGAGAAAAGCCCUGUAAAUCCUUUAGUUCUCAAUAACCCUGGGAUUUAUUACACGUUAUUUUUGUGCUUGUCUUUGUCCAGUUUUUUUGUUUUGUUUUUGUUUUGAUAUUCUUGUUUUAGUUGUUCUGAAAUUAGGAGGAUCUUUUGCUUUCUCGGUCUCUACCCCCUUGAUCUUACUGCUCCUCGCACCCUUAGAUUACACAGCUCUUACUACUGAGAAAAGCCCCUGAUAUGUGUUAAGAUUUGUAAAUCCAUUGGUUCUCAGUAGUUCUGGGGUUUAUUAUCUGUGUUAUGUUUGGUUCUGUUUUCGAUUUUUUGGUCUUGAUAGUUUGGUUGUUUUGUGCAGAGCAGUGAUCGAAAUGCGCAUGAAUAGUUAACUGCUUUUGGUCUUGAUAGUUCGUUUGUUUUGUCCAGAGUAGUGAUCUAAAUGCGCAUGAAUAGUUAGUUAACUGCUGAACCCGAUGAUCUAAUUUCUUUAGUACUACGAAUGAAUUACUGUAUAUCUAAUUACUGUAUGUGGUUACUGCUUUCUUUAGUACUACGAAUGAAUUGCUGUAUGUCUAAUUUCUCUGUGUGUGUUUUUAUAGGGUUCUGAAUAUGGUGAGAAGGAAGUGGUGGAGGGGAAUGAGGAAAAGAGUAUGACAAAUAUUGAUUUUGAUUCUAGUUUGUAGUGGUUGUGAUUCUGUUGUUUUUUGUGGAUUGAUGGUACGUAUUGUUGGAGUUGUUGGCUAACUGGUUGUGCAAUCAUUGGUGUUGAACACGAAGAAGAAUGUGGACAAAAGCAAGUGAAGGUCGUAGCUGGGUAUACGUCGCAAUCUCAUUUGAAGAUGCAAGUCAUUAUCUCCUUUAAUGUAGAUUAGAGAUCACUUAUCAAUUACACCCGUCAUGCAUCUCUUGGGAAAAUUGGGUUCCGGUGUUGCUUAAAUUUGUUAAAUUUUGUUUUGAAGAUGGUGUAAAUAAAUAACUGCAUAAGCUUGUGGAGGUGGAACAUUGAAUGAAUGCAUAAGCUUGGGAAAGUGCAGAUGACCCUGUCUAUUGGGAAGUUUUGAUUGGGUGGCUUCAUUUCAUAAUCCAUAUACACCAAAUACGAAUUCCAGUCAGCAUUACCAAUUACAUUAUUACCAAGAAAAUGUCUCUCUAAGCUACACAUACUUCUGGUAAUAGACCAUCUCAUCUUCAGUAGCACCCAAACCUGCUCACCAUUAAUGUUUCUGAAAUCUUAUCUCUUCUUUGCUAUGCACACUUUGCACACCAACUUCCAGCAAUCAAUCAGUGCUUUGUCUCCUCUGAACCUCGUAACUCAUUACGGCAGCUGUCGGGUUUAACAACAACCUAUAUUGAGCUAUCUCAACGUAGCAGAUAAAAGAGAACUAAAGAUGUGGGUAUUGAUGGCGAUAAAGGUUGCGAAAGGCUGGUUUCAAAUGGGAAUGGACUAAUAGAGUAAAUGGAGAGGGGGAGGAGAUACUGGAGGUCAGGGACCUCAGGGUACCCGAUGGUUUGAGAAGCAUCAAGGAAUUCAACUGUUUGCGAAGCUGCCCGGACAUAGCACGGGCACAAAAUCUAGUUUCUUUGUAAUUCCUUACCAACUUUGUUUGCGUCAUUAUUUUGGUGAGUCCACGCUCCCGCUAACAGACUCCUCGUAUCACAGUGCAACAUUUCCACUUUCAGCAGCACAUUUCUGGAUUAUAUUUGUCACUUUCAAACCGGCUUGGUGUUUGAGAGCACAAAUAGUUUUAGUUUGCAGAAUGGGGUGCAAGCGAUUUGUAGUAGCUUCUUAUGUUGCACGCCUUUUACACAUAUCACACUAACAGGACAUUUUGUCUUCCUGCUUUGUUACCGACCACCAAUUCCCUGUACUACUUUAUUUGGUCGAUAGUAAUUAACGGAUCCUAAAUUUUGUCUGAACUUGGGCAUUAAUAAUACUCCAUAAUGGUAAUUUUCUAUGUA